UGUUGGGCUUUGCCUUUCUUUGUUGCCUCA
RNAcentral lists this non-coding RNA (30 nucleotides) under Homo sapiens (human). Lineage: Eukaryota; Metazoa; Chordata; Mammalia; Primates; Hominidae. The record is from RNAcentral.